CGUCUAUUAUAUCCACCUCAUAUCUCACUCCAUCAAACAUUCACCAAAACACCCAAAACCAAACCUUCAUCUGCCGUUUUCACCUUCACAAACCACCAACAGUAAAUCAAUCACCCACAUAACACUGUCAAACCUCCGUCAAUAACCCACAAAAUCCUUUCUCCGAUGCAUACAAACCGUAUUUCCAUCACCAUCCUCCAAUAACCGAUCCAACCACCUUACUAACCACUGUUAGUUUCAAAUUUUUAUUUUAUUAUUGUAUUUUAUAUUUUAUUCUAU
This 279-nucleotide long non-coding RNA is filed under the name Lathyrus oleraceus (garden pea). RNAcentral describes it as "Pisum sativum (pea) long non-coding RNA (PSAT_LNC008026)". Lineage: Eukaryota; Viridiplantae; Streptophyta; Magnoliopsida; Fabales; Fabaceae. The record is from RNAcentral.